CGGGCCUCCUCGCAUGGUGGGGCGGUGAACCUGGUCAGGUCGGGAACGAAGCAGCCACAAUCGUUUUCCGCCAGUGCCG
Molecule: non-coding RNA, 79 nt
Organism: Burkholderia sp.
Lineage: Bacteria; Pseudomonadati; Pseudomonadota; Betaproteobacteria; Burkholderiales; Burkholderiaceae
Source: Rfam